Molecule: long non-coding RNA, 1142 nt
Filed under: Brassica rapa (field mustard)
Lineage: Eukaryota; Viridiplantae; Streptophyta; Magnoliopsida; Brassicales; Brassicaceae
Description: long non-coding RNA (BRAP_LNC006730)
Source: RNAcentral
AGCCAGCUAAACAAAUAGAGACUACACAACCAUCUAUUUAACAAUUUACAAACUUACUUUCGCAGAUGUUUACGAAGAAGAUGAAGACGAAACCAAGAUCAAUGAAAUUACCUAAACAAAAAAAGCAGAGUAAGUUACAAACUCGAUAAAUACAAUUAACAAUGAUUUUUUGUUUACAUAUUAUCCAUCAAAUAAAAGAGAAACAAACACAACCACACCAGGAGAUACAAGAGACAAUCCCAACAUACACAAAGGCGGCAACAACAUCUCCACCUGCUCACUCCUCUUGUCUUAUGAAAAUAGCUUGCAUGCUCAAUGCCAACAGACCAAUGCUAUUGUCUUCUUAUGAGAAAUACAUAUAUUCGUUUAAAACCCAUUAACGGCCAAAUACUAAUUGUCGCUCAUUUUAUAGUUAUUUCUACAAAUUUUUAUGUAUUUGUUUUAAAGGUCCGGUAAAAGCAACAAAUUUAAAAAUAAAAAAAUAUAUAACCAACAUAAAAAGAAUAAAAAAAAUUAUUACUUAAUACACACAAUUUACACAACUAAACUGGAGAAAAAAUAUCUAGAAACAAAAGUUACGGUCAACAACAUUAAUAUAAUUUAUGUAAUCUCAACAUUAUAAAUAACAAAUUAAAAAGACAAACAAACAAUAAGUUUUAGUAACACAUCAAGUGACACAUCAACCAACACCAUAAACUAUAUCAAUCACAUUACUAACACAAUUUAGUCCUUCAUGAGUGAAGAACAGUGCAUACACAAUUCAUCAUCACAACUCUAACCCUUUAACAAUAAAAAACUUGAAAACAAUGAUCAACCCAAAACGCAAAAUUCACAGCUACAAUAAUCCUAACAAAUAUUGUGAUAAAAAAAGAAUUAUGUCAAUAAUCUUGUGCUUGCGCAGGGGCAAUACCCCUAGUAUAUACAAUCAUAGAGUCGGCAAACUAUCAUAAUACAGUAUUAAGAUGGAUACAAAUAUAUAUCAUAGUUCUACGUAUUUGAGAACAUAUUAUUAUAAUUUGACAUAUAUUACGAUAAAUAUUAUUCACACAUUAUUUAUACCACUAUUAAACUAUAUACUAUAAUUAAAAAAAAGAUCUUUUUCAUAUCCAGUAAUAAAUAUGCUAAAUGGAUUUUUAAACAGA